This 466-nucleotide ribosomal RNA is filed under the name uncultured Actinomycetes bacterium. Its description in RNAcentral is "bacterial SSU rRNA". It matches the Rfam family "Bacterial small subunit ribosomal RNA", at positions 979 to 1449 of the family's 1533-position model. The record is from RNAcentral. Lineage: Bacteria; Bacillati; Actinomycetota; Actinomycetes.
GCUUGACAUAUACAGGAAUAUGGCAGAUAUGUCAUAUCCGCAAGGUCUGUAUACAGGUGGUGCAUGGUUGUCGUCAGCUCGUGUCGUGAGAUGUUGGGUUAAGUCCCGCAACGAGCGCAACCCUCGUUCUGUGUUGCCAGCAUUUAGUUGGGGACUCACAGGAGACUGCCGGGGUUAACUCGGAGGAAGGUGGGGAUGACGUCAAAUCAUCAUGCCCCUUAUGUCUUGGGCUGCACGCAUGCUACAAUGGCUGGUACAAACGGCUGCGAUACCGCAAGGUGGAGCGAAUCCGAUAAAGCCAGUCUCAGUUCGGAUUGGGGUCUGCAACUCGACCCCAUGAAGUCGGAGUUGCUAGUAAUCGUAGAUCAGCAACGCUACGGUGAUACGUUCCCGGGGCUUGUACGCACCGCCCGUCACGUCACGAAAGUCGGUAACACCCAGAAGUCAGUGCCCAACCGUAAGGAGG